This 311-nucleotide long non-coding RNA is filed under the name Marmota monax (woodchuck). The record is from RNAcentral. Lineage: Eukaryota; Metazoa; Chordata; Mammalia; Rodentia; Sciuridae.
CAUAAAUACACACGGAGAAGAACCACAUUAUGGACAUCCAAAAGCAAGAUCCUGAAUUUGUUGUAUUUUGUGUAUCUUUGGCUUGGAGGGAAAGAAUUAUGAGAAUUUGCCAUUAUUAGAUAAUCAAAGCAUUUUGGUAUCAGUGGCUUUCUGCUGAAAAAUGUGACUGACUCUUAUUGAAGGCAUUUCACUGUUAGACCGAGAGAACUGUCAGUAUAGAUAAAAUGCAUUCUGUAUUACUCUUGAUUGGAGUGAUAUUUGAAAAUGAGUAUAAGCAGUAUUUGUAACCACAGGAACUAGUCAUAAGCCUU